This 72-nucleotide transfer RNA is filed under the name Myxococcales bacterium. Its description in RNAcentral is "tRNA-Cys". It matches the Rfam family "tRNA". Rfam says of the family: Transfer RNA (tRNA) molecules are approximately 80 nucleotides in length. Their secondary structure includes four short double-helical elements and three loops (D, anti-codon, and T loops). RNAcentral also lists the same sequence under 1 other name. The record is from RNAcentral. Lineage: Bacteria; Pseudomonadati; Myxococcota; Myxococcia; Myxococcales.
GGAGCCGUAGCCAAGUGGUAAGGCAGUGGUCUGCAAAACCACCAUUCCCCGGUUCAAAUCCGGGCGGCUCCU